RNAcentral lists this ribosomal RNA (446 nucleotides) under uncultured bacterium. RNAcentral's name for it is "SSU rRNA". It matches the Rfam family "Bacterial small subunit ribosomal RNA", at positions 26 to 518 of the family's 1533-position model. The record is from RNAcentral.
AGAACGAACGCUGGCGGCAGGCCUCAAACAUGCAAGUCUAGGGGGUGUAGCAAUACAUCACCGGCGGACGGGUGCGUAACGCGUGGGAAUAUACCUAUUGGUUCGGAACAACUGAGGGAAACUUCAGCUAAUACCGAAUAAGUCCUUACGGAGAAAGAUUUAUCGCCAAUAGAUUAGCCCGCGUUCGAUUAGCUAGUUGGUGGGGUAACGGCCCACCAAGGCGACGAUCGAUAGCUGUUCUGAGAGGAAGAUCAGCCACACUGGGACUGAGACACGGCCCAGACUCCUACGGGAGGCAGCAGUUGGGAAUCUUGGACAAUGGGGGAAACCCUGAUCCAGCCAUGCCGCGUGAGUGAUGAAGGCCUCGGGUUGUAAACUCUUUCGCGCACGACGAUAAUGACGGUAGUGCGAGAAGAAGCUCCGGCUAACUUCGUGCCAGCAGCCGC